GAUGAACGCUGGCGGCGUGCCUAAUACAUGCAAGUCGAGCGAACAGACGAGGAGCUUGCUCCUCUGACGUUAGCGGCGGACGGGUGAGUCACACGUGGAUAACCUACCUAUAAGACUGGGAUAACUUCGGGAAACCGGAUCUACUACCGGAUAAUAUAUUGCACCGCAUUGUUCAAUAGUGAAAGACGGUUUUGCUGUCACUUAUAGAUUGAUCCGCGCCGCAUUAGCUAGUUGGGAAGGUAACGGCUUACCAAGGCGACGAUGCGUAGCCGACCUGAGAGGGUGAUCGGCCAGACGGGAACUGAGACACGGUCCAGACUCCGACGGGAGGCAGCAGUAGGGAAUCUUCCGCAAUGGGCGAAAGCCUGACGGAGCAACGCCGCGUGAGGGAUGAAGGUCUUCGGAUCGUAAAACUCUGUUAUUAGGGAAGAACAAAUGUGUAAGUAACCAUGCACGUAUUGACGGUACCGAAUCAGAAAGCCACGGCUAACUACGUG
Molecule: ribosomal RNA, 497 nt
Filed under: uncultured bacterium
Lineage: Bacteria
Description: partial 16S ribosomal RNA
Rfam family: Bacterial small subunit ribosomal RNA
Source: RNAcentral